ACUCAAAUGAAUUGACGGGGGCCCGCACAAGCAGUGGAGCAUGUGGUUUAAUUCGAAGCAACGCGCAGAACCUUACCAGCCCUUGACAUGCGGAUUAAGAGUUUGAGAGAUCAGACUUGUCGGUUCGGCCGGAUCCUGCACAGGUGCUGCAUGGCUGUCGUCAGCUCGUGUCGUGAGAUGUUGGGUUAAGUCCCGCAACGAGCGCAACCCUCAUCUUCAGUUGCCAGCAGGUUAAGCUGGGCACUUUGAAGAAACUGCCGAUGAUAAAUCGGAGGAAGGCGAGGAUGACGUCAAGUCCUCAUGGCCCUUAUGGGCUGGGCUACACACGUGCUACAAUGGUGGUGACAAUUAGAUGCAAUAGGGUGACCUGGAGCAAAUCUUUAAAAACCACCUCAGUUCGGAUUGUACUCUGCAACUCGAGUACAUGAAGUUGGAAUUGCUAGUAAUCGUAGAUCAGCAUGCUACGGUGAAUACGUUCCCGGGCCUUGUACACACCGCCCGU
This 502-nucleotide ribosomal RNA is filed under the name uncultured bacterium. RNAcentral's name for it is "partial 16S ribosomal RNA". It matches the Rfam family "Bacterial small subunit ribosomal RNA", at positions 899 to 1397 of the family's 1533-position model. The record is from RNAcentral.